GAUGAACGCUGGCGGCGUGCCUAAUACAUGCAAGUCGAGCGAACAGACGAGGAGCUUGUUCCUCUGACGGUAGCGGCGGGCGGGCGAGUAACGCGUGGAUAGCAUACCUAUUAUUCUGGGAGGACUUCGGGAAACAGGUUCCAAUAACGCAUAAUAUAUUCAACCGCAUGGUUCAAUAGUGAUUGACGGCUUUGCUGUCUCUUAUAGACGGAUUCGUGUCGGAUUAGCUAGUUGGUAAGGUACCGGCUUACCAAGGCGACGAUGCGUAGCCGAUCUGAGAGGAUGAUCAGCCACACUGGAACUGAGACACGGUCCAGACUCCUACGGGAGGCAGCAGUGGGGAAUAUUGGACAAUGGGCGAAAGCCUGACCCAGCCAUACCGCGUGGGUGAAGAAGGCCUUCGGGUUGUAAAGCCCUUUUGUUGGGAAAGAAAAGCAGCAGGUGAAUCUCCGGCCGUUCUGACGGUACCCAAAGAAUAAGCACCGGCUAACUUCGUG
This 497-nucleotide ribosomal RNA is filed under the name uncultured bacterium. Its description in RNAcentral is "partial 16S ribosomal RNA". It matches the Rfam family "Bacterial small subunit ribosomal RNA", at positions 28 to 507 of the family's 1533-position model. The record is from RNAcentral.